UACGUAGGGUGCGAGCGUUGUCCGGAAUUAUUGGGCGUAAAGAGCUCGUAGGCGGUCUGUCGCGUCGAUCGUGAAAACUUGGGGCUUAACCCUGAGCUUGCGGUCGAUACGGGCAUGACUGGAGUUCGGCAGGGGAGACUGGAAUUCCUGGUGUAGCGGUGAAAUGCGCAGAUAUCUGGAGGAAUACCGGUGGCGAAGGCGGCGUUCUGGACCAUUACUGACACUGAAUCGCGAAAGCUAGGGGAGCAAACGGG
This 254-nucleotide ribosomal RNA is filed under the name uncultured bacterium. RNAcentral describes it as "partial 16S ribosomal RNA". It matches the Rfam family "Bacterial small subunit ribosomal RNA", at positions 524 to 776 of the family's 1533-position model. The record is from RNAcentral.